CCUACUAUUACUAGUGAAAAUAUAAAGCGUGCUUUCAGCUUAAGAACGUAUGUUCUCUGCUGGGAGGAUGCUCUGGGUGACUGCAUUAUUUAUAGAAAGCAACAGUAAUUUCUUUCUGAAUGACUUGCAAGAAUUAAUUUAUUGACAGGGGACAACAGCUCAUUACACUGUUAAUGUUCCUGUAAUUCAGAAAAAGCAGCACUACUGCACAUAUUAAUGCCCUUCCUCAGCAGGAUGUUACAGCUGUGCAAAUAAAAAUAUUUUUCUCAAAAGUUACAGUAGCUCAUAGUAUUGGAUGAAGUUCUUCUUGUGACCAAUUAUUUCCAAAUUUGCAAGGUAAUACAAAUAUUUCCUUAGUGACCAUUCUGGGUGUUUUUCUGUGUAGGACUCAAGAGAUGGAAUCGCAUCAGAUUUGGAUGACUAAUUUAGUUUUACAUCACAUGACUUAGAAAUUCAGUAAACUACCGGAUAUUUCUGUUCCACAAACAUCUGAAAGGCUACAUUAUUUGUUGUAAUUCAAAGCAAGGAGUAGUAAUAAAUCAAAUCCAUCAAACUUGUUCGGUGCUUGUUGUGGCCACAGUGUCUGCCAAAGCUACAAGGAACAUCUGCUCUAGACGAGUGAGGCCUGGCAGACUUGAGUGCAUCAGGUGGCUUGAAAGGACGCUGGCGUGUUCUCGGCCAAAGAAGAUCCAGUGGUUGGCUGUACACAAGUCUGGAGCUCAGAAUGAGUUUACUAGCAGUCUGAAGAUUAGCAAUUGAUGAAGAUCGUGGAAUGGGACUCACGCCAGGUGAUAAAUCUGGAGAAGAAUCUACAGUCUUCUGCUCAGUACCUCUACCCCUCUACAAGGGAGGCUGCUGGGACUGAAAACAUUUCCUGCAGACAAAGAAAAUGUGUCUUCCAGACAUCAAUGGCAAAAUUUUCACAUUCCUGAAUAUCUUCUUUUUCCAGAGAACUAUGGAAUGGCAUCUUCCUCCAUACAGGGUUGAUGCUUGCUGCUAUGUGGAAGUGACCGAGUGCAUUUGCGUGAUGUGAAAUGUGACGCUGAACUUCAUGAGUACCCUGCUGAUCUGGCAACACAUCUGUAUUGAGAAAUGGUGCUGCUAAUGCUGGAAGUGCUAGUUUCACAUAUCUGCUCACCCAGAAGAGUAUCUUCUGGUAACAGUGUCUCUGCCCACAGUCGACAGAUGCCAUCAAGACAUGAUCUGUUGCAAAGUAUUCACCAUCAGGAGACCAGGCCAUCAAAUGUACUGAUACUGCAGUCCUAAAGAACACAAGAGUAAAGUUUU
Tympanuchus pallidicinctus (lesser prairie-chicken) is the source of this 1287-nucleotide long non-coding RNA. RefSeq lists it as uncharacterized. The transcript has 7 exons. Lineage: Eukaryota; Metazoa; Chordata; Aves; Galliformes; Phasianidae. The record is from RefSeq and is a predicted model, not a curated record.